GUCCUACGGGACGCAGCAGUGAGGGAUAUUGGUCAAUGGGGGAAACCCUGAACCAGCAACGCCGCGUGAGGGAAGACGGUUUUCGGAUUGUAAACCUCUGUCCUCUGUGAAGAUAAUGACGGUAGCAGAGGAGGAAGCUCCGGCUAACUACGUGCCAGCAGCCGCGGUAAUACGUAGGGGGCAAGCGUUAUCCGGAUUUACUGGGUGUAAAGGGAGCGUAGACGGCUGUGCAAGUCUGAAGUGAAAGCCCGUGGCUCAACCGCGGAACUGCUUUGGAAACUGUAUAGCUUGAGUACUGGAGAGGC
Molecule: ribosomal RNA, 305 nt
Filed under: uncultured bacterium
Lineage: Bacteria
Description: bacterial SSU rRNA
Rfam family: Bacterial small subunit ribosomal RNA
Source: RNAcentral